Molecule: ribosomal RNA, 457 nt
Filed under: uncultured bacterium
Lineage: Bacteria
Description: bacterial SSU rRNA
Rfam family: Bacterial small subunit ribosomal RNA
Source: RNAcentral
GAUGAACGCUAGCGGCAGGCUUAACACAUGCAAGUCGAGGGGUAGAAGGAGCUUGCUCCUUUGAGACCGGCGCACGGGUGCGUAACGCGUAUGCAAUCUACCUUUUGCAGAGGGAUAGCCCAGAGAAAUUUGGAUUAAUACCUCAUAGUAUGUGAGGAUGGCAUCAUUUUCACAUUAAAGUCACAACGGCAAAAGAUGAGCAUGCGUCCCAUUAGCUAGUUGGUAAGGUAACGGCUUACCAAGGCUACGAUGGGUAGGGGUCCUGAGAGGGAGAUCCCCCACACUGGUACUGAGACACGGACCAGACUCUUACGGGAGGCAGCAGUGAGGAAUAUUGGACAAUGGGCGCAAGCCUGAUCCAGCCAUGCCGCGUGCAGGAUGACGGUCCUAUGGGAUUGUAAACUGUCUUUUGUUAACAGGAAGGAAACACUACUUCGUGAAGUAGCUUGACGGUACU